Molecule: long non-coding RNA, 81 nt
Organism: Corvus hawaiiensis (hawaiian crow)
Lineage: Eukaryota; Metazoa; Chordata; Aves; Passeriformes; Corvidae
Exons: 2
Source: RefSeq, a predicted model, not a curated record
UCAGGGAAUAGCUACAGCAACUAUGCCUGGUUCCAGCAGAAGGUCCCUGGCAGUGCCCCUGUCACUGUGAUCUAUGCUAAU